This is an RNA transcript of Scomber scombrus (Atlantic mackerel), 2176 nucleotides long. It is a transcript of the gene named katanin p80 subunit B-like 1, with no coding region annotated. Lineage: Eukaryota; Metazoa; Chordata; Actinopteri; Scombriformes; Scombridae. The record is from RefSeq and is a predicted model, not a curated record. The transcript has 10 exons.
GUCAAAACUCAAAUGCUAGCGACCCUGCAGACAGAAGUUGUUGUUGAGUUUAACCAGUUUUUUUCACAUUUGGGAUUUUACACACCCGCGGAGACUUGAAGACAUUUGACAGAAUGGAUCGUGUCCCUUAUUAUGGCAGCUGGUAAGCAAUGGGAUGUCUGUAAGGUCAAACAGAAUAAAACCAAUGGCCUUCUGCGAUCUUGCCUGCAUCUUUCUGCUGAAAAGAACAUGAAGCAGGUGGAUAUUAUAAAUAAGGAAGAAUUAGAUAAAGAAAGAUUCCAAGUGCACAGUCCAGGCAAAGCGAAGCGAUUGUCAUCUUGCAAGAGGAAGGGUUUCCCAUCGGUGGAGGUGGGCUCGAAGCUGCACCGCAGAACAUCCAAUGUAGGCCGUGCCCGUGACCCCGGCAUGGCCAACAAAGAAAAUGAGCUGACGUGCUCCGAUGACGUGCGGGGCAUUCACCACAAUGACAACUGCGGGCUCCCUGUGAACUCCGCAGAGGCCUCCAAGAUGGCAGGGGCCAGCUCCAAGUACAGCGACUUUACAGAACUAUCAAAGGAUCAUGAAGCUAUGACUCACGUCCUUUUCGGAAGGAACCUUCGACUUAAAGUAGCCCAAACACUAUGGCGAAGAAAUGCCAGUGAAUUAGUGGCCUAUCUAAUAAGAAUUCAAGACACAGGGGUGCUGCUCGACUGCUUACCUGUCUUAACAAACAAUCUUCAAACUGAAGCACCAUGUUUAUCACUUGGAUGCUGCGUUGACCUCAUGCCCCAAGUGAAAAUGAUUCUUGCCAGUAAAUAUGAAGAACACAUAAUGGUGGGUUUACACUGGGUUCAAUCCAUCAUCAGGAAAUGGUGGCCAGAGCUUUCAAAAAAUGAGAAAAGACUGCGGGACAGUUGUUCAGAAGACAGCAUUCAUAGGCUCAAACCAGAUAUACUUGCAUGUUGAUUACACCACCGCAACCAGACUUCUUUCACCACAGAGUGUACAAACAGCUGCAGUAAGAUUUUUUUUCUUUUCUUUUCUUUUCUUUUUUUAAAAAUGAUGAAAUAAAAAUGGCACAAAAGUUUUGAUUUUUCCUCCUUUCUAGUGCCUGGUAAUUUUACCUACUUGUGCUUGACGGUAAACAAAGGAGGUGAAUGUGAUUUAUUGUUGUUGCUGUUUUAAAAUAUUAUUACACCCACAUGCCUUAGACCAGAAUAUUAACUAUGGUGUCACAAUGUGGAUAAAAAGAUGUUGAAUUGUAAUCAACUCAAAAAUAUGACUUCCAGCUUCAGAAGAUAUUUGUUAAAAGACGAUCAUGUACAUUUCUGAUAGCAGUUGGGAUUCAUUUGCAUCAGCAGAGCUCUUGGUAGGGAUGGAAGAGAGGGUGGGUUGGGGGAUUCUACAGUCAGUGAGUGGGGGUCAUGUGCACACUUGCUGUUACAGUAAUGCUUGUAUGUGCAUUGCAGGAAUAUUGAAGUCAUGAAGCAGCGGCUGAAGGACUUGUGGAAGGAUGGUGCCCGGUUGUGUUUGGUUCCUGGAUCUACGGGAGAAAUGGCAAAGGCCAUCGAAGCUUAUCUUUCACAGCUGCCCUGACAGUUGUCAAAGUAACACUCUUGAGGAUGUGACCACUACUGCCGGAUCAUGGCUGUGUUUUGAACUGAUAAUGAUGCCAGAGAAAUGGACUGGUUCAUUCUGCCCCUCAAACUCGAAACCUCUUAACUGGGACUGAUAACAACACUUCAGACUCCUUCAGUUAGAGCUGGAGACACUUAAGAAGGGGCCAGGAGAGCUUUUCUGCUAAACAAAAAACAAACAAACAUUUAAAAAAAAAAAAGAAGAAAAAAACACAGCAAAUGACUGCUUCACAUUGAAGUGGACCGUCUUGUGAAGGGGCAUAUAGCUGACCUCCAUGAGACUGGAUGUACGUCGCUCUAUGAAGUGCCAAGCUCUUCGUCUCUCAUUACACUACUCUUUGCCAUGGAAUGCAAAUGCACUUGUGGAUGUAAUGAAUGCUCCGCUGUUUUGAUGUUUUUUUAAUCCUGGGUUCUUUGGAAUCAGGAACUUGAAUCUGCAGCAGUCUUAAGUUAUUAGAGCUCCUCUUGUUUUCAUUUUUGCCUCCUUAUGACAUUUGACUGUAUAAUGUAAAAUGUAAAAACAAGUGAUUCUUUUAAUCUUCUUUUAAAUAAAUUUGAUA